RNAcentral lists this ribosomal RNA (232 nucleotides) under uncultured bacterium. RNAcentral describes it as "partial 16S ribosomal RNA". It matches the Rfam family "Bacterial small subunit ribosomal RNA", at positions 104 to 334 of the family's 1533-position model. The record is from RNAcentral.
CGGGGUGAGUAACGCGUGGAUAACCUGCCUCACACUGGGGGAUAACAGUUAGAAAUGACUGCUAAUACCGCAUAAGCGCACAGUACCGCAUGGUACGGUGUGAAAAACUCCGGUGGUGUGAGAUGGAUCCGCGUCUGAUUAGCCAGUUGGCGGGGUAACGGCCCACCAAAGCGACGAUCAGUAGCCGACCUGAGAGGGUGACCGGCCACAUUGGGACUGAGACACGGCCCAA